AUUUCCUCUUCUCCUCAUUGUGAACUCGUGGCAGGGUCUGCUUGGUGAGCUCAUUCUCUUACAACAACAAAUUCAAGAGCGUGAAGAGGAAGCGCGCAGAGCCGCUGGCCAAUAUAGCACGAGCUAUGCCCAACAGAAGCGCAAGGUGUCAGACAAAGAGAAAAUUGACCAACUUCAGGAAGAACUUCUGCACACUCAGUUAAAGUAUCAGAGAAUCUUGGAACGAUUAGAAAAGGAGAACAAAGAAUUGAGAAAAUUAGUAUUGCAGAAAGAUGACAAAGGCAUUCAUCAUAGAAAGCUUAAGAAAUCUUUGAUUGACAUGUAUUCUGAAGUUCUUGAUGUUCUCUCUGAUUAUGAUGCCAGUUAUAAUACUCAAGAUCAUCUGCCACGGGUUGUUGUGGUUGGAGAUCAGAGUGCUGGAAAGACUAGUGUGUUGGAAAUGAUUGCCCAAGCUCGAAUAUUCCCGAGAGGAUCUGGGGAGAUGAUGA
Molecule: small RNA, 488 nt
Filed under: Pan troglodytes (chimpanzee)
Lineage: Eukaryota; Metazoa; Chordata; Mammalia; Primates; Hominidae
Description: retained intron
Source: RNAcentral